GACAGAGGUGCCGAGCGUUAGGCGGAAUCACUGGGCUUAAAGCGUGUGUAGGCGGAUUUGUAAGUACCUUGUGAAAUCCCACGGCUCACCCGUGGAACUGCUCGGUAUACUGGUCGUCUUGAGCCUUCUAGGGGCGAGUGGAACAAAUGGUGGAGCGGUGAAAUGCGUAGAUAUCAUUUGGAACGCCAAUGGUGAAAACAACUCGCUGGGGAAGUGCUGACGCUGAGACACGAAAGCCAGGGGAGCGAACGGG
RNAcentral lists this ribosomal RNA (253 nucleotides) under uncultured bacterium. RNAcentral's name for it is "partial 16S ribosomal RNA". It matches the Rfam family "Bacterial small subunit ribosomal RNA", at positions 524 to 776 of the family's 1533-position model. The record is from RNAcentral.